Non-coding RNA from Mycena metata, 103 nucleotides. The record is from the annotation of a GenBank genome assembly. Lineage: Eukaryota; Fungi; Basidiomycota; Agaricomycetes; Agaricales; Mycenaceae.
GUCUAGGUAGUAUAGUGGUUAGUAUGCUCGCUUGUGGCAUCAUCAGGUCUUCCUGGUGUAAUACAGUCCGCGAUUGACGUCAGUUCGAUUCUGGCCCUGGACA